AUACGUAGGGGGCGAGCGUUGUCCGGAAUGAUUGGGCGUAAAGGGCGCGUAGGCGGCCCGGUAAGUCUGGAGUGAAAGUCCUGUUUUUGAGAUGGGAAUUGCUUUGGAUACUGUCGGGCUUGAGUGCAGGAGAGGUAAGUGGAAUUCCCAGUGUAGCGGUGAAAUGCGUAGAGAUUGGGAGGAACACCAGUGGCGAAGGCGACUUACUGGACUGUAACUGACGCUGAGGCGCGAAAGUGUGGGGAGCAAACAGGAUUAGAUACCCUGGUAGUCCACACUGUAAACGAUGAAUGCUAGGUGUAGGGGGUAUCGACCCCUUCUGUGCCGCAGUCAACACAAUAAGCAUUCCGCCUGGGGAGUACGGCCGCAGGUUGAAACUCAAAUGAAUUGGCGGGG
Molecule: ribosomal RNA, 396 nt
Filed under: uncultured bacterium
Lineage: Bacteria
Description: partial 16S ribosomal RNA
Rfam family: Bacterial small subunit ribosomal RNA
Source: RNAcentral